AGUGAACGCUGGCGGUAGGCCUAACACAUGCGAGUCGAACGGCAGCACAGUAAGAGCUUGCUCUUACGGGUGGCGAGUGGCGGACGGGUGAGGAAUACAUCGGAAUCUACUUUUUCGUGGGGGAUAACGUAGGGAAACUUACGCUAAUACCGCAUACGACCUACGGGUGAAAGCAGGGGAUCUUCGGACCUUGCGCGAUUGAAUGAGCCGAUGUCGGAUUAGCUAGUUGGCGGGGUAAAGGCCCACCAAGGCGACGAUCCGUAGCUGGUCUGAGAGGAUGAUCAGCCACACUGGAACUGAGACACGGUCCAGACUCCGACGGGAGGCAGCAGUGGGGAAUAUUGGACAAUGGGCGCAAGCCUGAUCCAGCCAUACCGCGUGGGUGAAGAAGGCCUUCGGGUUGUAAAGCCCUUUUGUUGGGAAAGAAAAGCAGCAGGUUAAUACCCCGCUGUUCGGACGGUACCCAAAGAAUAAGCACCGGCUAACUUCGU
Molecule: ribosomal RNA, 491 nt
Filed under: uncultured bacterium
Lineage: Bacteria
Description: partial 16S ribosomal RNA
Rfam family: Bacterial small subunit ribosomal RNA
Source: RNAcentral